UGCAAGUCGAGCGGACAGAUGGGAGCUUGCUCCCUGAUGUUAGCGGCGGACGGGUGAGUAACACGUGGGUAACCUGCCUGUAAGACUGGGAUAACUCCGGGAAACCGGGGCUAAUACCGGAUGCUUGUUUGAACCGCAUGGUUCAAACAUAAAAGGUGGCUUCGGCUACCACUUACAGAUGGACCCGCGGCGCAUUAGCUAGUUGGUGAGGUAACGGCUCACCAAGGCAACGAUGCGUAGCCGACCUGAGAGGGUGAUCGGCCACACUGGGACUGAGACACGGCCCAGACUCCUACGGGAGGCAGCAGUAGGGAAUCUUCCGCAAUGGACGAAAGUCUGACGGAGCAACGCCGCGUGAGUGAUGAAGGUUUUCGGAUCGUAAAGCUCUGUUGUUAGGGAAGAACAAGUACCGUUCGAAUAGGGCGGUACCUUGACGGUACCUAACCAGAAAGCCACGGCUAACUACGUGCCAGCAGCCGCGGUAAUACGUAGGUGGCAAGCGUUGUCCGGAAUUAUUGGGCGUAAAGGGCUCGCAGGCGGUUCCUUAAGUCUGAUGUGAAAGCCCCCGGCUCAACCGGGGAGGGUCAUUGGAAACUGGGGAACUUGAGUGCAGAAGAGGAGAGUGGAAUUCCACGUGUAGCGGUGAAAUGCGUAGAGAUGUGGAGGAACACCAGUGGCGAAGGCGACUCUCUGGUCUGUAACUGACGCUGAGGAGCGAAAGCGUGGGGAGCGAACAGGAUUAGAUACCCUGGUAGUCCACGCCGUAAACGAUGAGUGCUAAGUGUUAGGGGGUUUCCGCCCCUUACUGCUGCAGCUAACGCAUUAAGCACUCCGCCUGGGGAGUACGGUCGCAAGACUGAAACUCAAAGGAAUUGACGGGGGCCCGCAC
RNAcentral lists this ribosomal RNA (889 nucleotides) under Bacillus mojavensis. RNAcentral's name for it is "bacterial SSU rRNA". It matches the Rfam family "Bacterial small subunit ribosomal RNA", at positions 56 to 926 of the family's 1533-position model. Lineage: Bacteria; Bacillati; Bacillota; Bacilli; Caryophanales; Bacillaceae. The record is from RNAcentral.